UAGGGAAUCUUGCACAAUGGGCGAAAGCCUGAUGCAGCAACGCCGCGUGAAGGAUGAAGGCCUUCGGGUUGUAAACUUCUGUUCUAAGGGAAGAAACAAAUGACGGUACCUUAGGAGCAAGCCCCGGCUAACUACGUGCCAGCAGCCGCGGUAAUACGUAGGGGGCAAGCGUUAUCCGGAAUUAUUGGGCGUAAAGAGUGCGUAGGUGGUUACCUAAGCGCAAGGUUUAAUUUAGAGGCUCAACCUCUACUUGCCUUGCGAACUGGGCUACUUGAGUGCAGGAGGGGAAAGCGGAAUUCCUAGUGUAGCGGUGAAAUGCGUAGAUAUUAGGAGGAACACCAGCGGCGAAGGCGGCUUUCUGGACUGUAACUGACACUGAGGCACGAAAGCGUGGGUAGCAAACAGGAUUAGAUACCCUGGUAGUCCACGCCGUAAACGAUGAGCACUAGGUGUUGGGCCCGUUAGGGCCCAGUGCCGCAGUUAACGCAAUAAGUGCUCCGCCUGGGGAGUACGCUCGCAAGAGUA
This 525-nucleotide ribosomal RNA is filed under the name uncultured bacterium. RNAcentral describes it as "bacterial SSU rRNA". It matches the Rfam family "Bacterial small subunit ribosomal RNA", at positions 355 to 896 of the family's 1533-position model. The record is from RNAcentral.